This 310-nucleotide long non-coding RNA is filed under the name Olea europaea (common olive). Its description in RNAcentral is "long non-coding RNA (OEUR_LNC010883)". Lineage: Eukaryota; Viridiplantae; Streptophyta; Magnoliopsida; Lamiales; Oleaceae. The record is from RNAcentral.
AAUAAUACCUGUUGAAGUCUGCAAAGAAAUCACACCAAUCCCUUCCACUUUGACAUACUCACCAUUUCCCAUCUUCACUUUUGAUUUGUAAUUGCUGUCAAGUUCAACAAAGAUGAUGGAAUUUGAAGCCAUAUGAUGUGUGCAACUACUACUCAAUAGCCAUGUUCCAACAUCACUACACAUCUUGUGAUUUGUAACUGUGAAUAAGUGUUCUUGCUGAUCUUGUUGCUGAUUUUAAGCAACCUAUGCCUGCUGCUUGGAUUGCUGUUCCUUGAGAUUUUUGCACAUCUUUUGAACAUGUCCAAAUUGU